UUUCAAACUCCGACGAAGCAAACAUUCGAAACUAAUUGCGAAGAAGUGGGAUAGAUUUGUAAAGGAAAAAGAGAGAUUGCAGACAGUAGGCGGGGAGUAGAUAUGUACGAUAUAAGUAUCAUCGAGUAACAGAUUAGAAUUUGAACAGUCUGUGUUUGAUAGUAUUGGAAAUUACAACCAUGAAGAACGAGGAACUUGCACAGAAUGCACAAAAAGAGUCAACAAAUAUUAUUGGUAAACUUGGAAUCAGACAUUUGCAAGUUUUUCUGCAUUUCUUAGGGAUGGUGAUCGGAUAUUCUCUUCGAGUGAGCAUGUCGCUAGCUAUUGUGCCAAUGACAACGAAAGACUCCAAUAAUUAUCAAUUCGAGGUUUACAAUUGGUCGUCAACCGAAAGUGCAACAAUACUCUCCUCUUUUUUUUGGGGCUAUACGAUCAUGCAAAUACCAAGUGGUUAUAUAGCGGCAUUUUGGAGUGCUCAAAAAUUAUUGAGUUUCGGACUGCUAGUUUGCGGAAUCUUGAAUAUUUUGACACCAACUCUUGCCCAUUACGGUGGUUAUUUGGCUGUCUGUGCUUGUAGGGUAGGCAUGGGACUUUCUCAGAGUUGCCUGUUACCGAGCAUACACACCCUUCUUUCUAAGUGGGCACCACCGACUGAACGGGCACGACUCGGAACACUUGCUUACGCCGGUGCACAAUUCGGUACCGUGAUUUGUUUUCCAAUUUCUGGACUGUUAGCAUCAUCGAGUGCCGGCUGGCCAUCUAUUUUUUACGUUUUUGGCGCUUUGGCCGUGAUUUGGGGCGUUAUAUUCUUCGUUUUUGGUUCGGACAGCCCUGCUAAGCACUCGCGUAUAUCGGAAAGAGAAAGGCGAUAUAUCGAAAACAGUUUAAAAAGUAGCGAGGAAAAAGAAAAACCGAGCAAUGAAACGGCGAUGAGAACACCGUGGAAAGCUAUUUUCACGUCGGUGCCGAUGUGGGCUUUAAUAAUUGUGCAUUGCGGACAAAAUUGGGGCUAUUGGACUCUUAUCACUGAAUUACCAACUUAUAUGAAUGAAGUUUUGGAAUAUAAAUUGGUAGAUAAUGGUAUUAUAUCGGCGCUUCCCUAUUUAGUGAUGUGGAUCUUAAGUUUUCCGGUAUGCUGGCUGGCCGAUUAUGCUUUAAAAAAGGGUAUCUCGGCAGGAGUAAUUAGAAAAUUUUGCAACACGAUCGCACACUGGGGACCAGCGAUAGCGUUGAUUUGUCUUGCCGCUAUGUCGGUGCAGGAUCACAAAGUGGCUGUAAUCAUUCUUGUGAUAGCUGUAGGGUUAAACGCUGGUUCUCUAUGCGGAUUUCAAAUUAAUCAUAUCGAUCUAAGUCCGAAUUUCGCCGGUAGAAUGAUGUCUAUCACCAAUUGUAUCGCAUCCGUGGUCGCGAUAAUUGCACCAAUGGUUUGCGGCCUCAUCGUAACGCAAAAGAAAAGUAUUACCCAAUGGAACAUAGUGUUUUACUUGUCUGCUGCAAUUUAUAUUUUAGGAAAUUUAAUCUUUAUCAUUUUUGGAAGCACUGAGAUUCAACCAUGGAACAAUCCAAAACCUGCGAAUCUUGAAAAACGAAGCGACAAAGAAUUAACGGUUGUAUAAAUAUUUAAAUAUAUAUAUAUAUAUAUAUAUGUGAGUAUAUGUACAAAUAUAAUCUAAUACCAACAAUAAGUACAACUGGAUAUAAAUUUCCAUACUUAAAAGUUAACUAGUCGCAUUGCUCAAAAAUAUUAAAUUUAGUAAUAUAUAUAUAAUAAAAUAUAAAGAUAUAUAAAUAGAAAUAUAAUAUAAAUUCAUUAAAAUUUGAAAUUAUACAAAAUAAAAGUUUAUAUAUAUAUAUAUAUAGCUUUUUAGUUCAGGAUUUUCAGGUUUAAUGUCUUAUGUUCGUUGCCAGGAUAUGAUGCCAGUUCGUUCUCACUCGCGUGCUUAGGUGCUAUUUGGAUAAGAGAAAGACGAUGGAUAUGAUGAUCCAUAAUUGAUUAUUAAAAUUUAUUAAAAUUUCUCAGCGACCAAUGACGACGAAUUAGUGAAUUUUUCACAUUGUGUGCGUGUUAGAUUGAAUUACAUCGUUUUAAUCCAUCGAUAAAGAUUGGAAAUUCCAUUACAAUUUAUGACAAUGAUAUUACAUUCCUUAUAUACUACGGAUUAAGAUUAAUUAUUAAUCUUGCAAAUUAUAAUAACAAUAUUUUUUCGAUUAUAUGAACAUUUAUGUAAUUUUGUUGCUUUUUACGCAAUGGUCUCUAGUCAUUGUUAGUGGAUUUCAAAAGAAUGGCACGUAAAGUUAGAGCAUAAAAAUAAUAUAGAUUUUUAUGCGUGAGAAUCAUAGAGAUGUAUCGAUAUCUUCGUUUUUUUAAAUAUAUUUUUUUUGAAUUAUUUUUUUAAAAUAUAAAACUAGAUAAAAUAAGUAGCUUUGCGCAAAUAUCGAUUGUAAGAUAGAUAGAGUUGUCAUAAUUUUUCAUAGAGUAGGAUUCUUUUUUUUUUCACGUGGCGAUCUGUUUCAAGAAAUCAAAUUUGAAAAAUCGAGGGUGUAAAACUAAGAAAUAUCAAUGGAUAAUAUUAUGUCCUCUCUGGCUUCGUUUUUUCUGUUAGUGUUUUAGAACGAUUUCCAACGAGGAAUUGUUUUAAAAUCACGAUUGUAUUAAACGAAGUUUUAGUAAUAGAGAUUAGCAAUGUAUCAAGCGACGUCGUCCUUGAAGGGUUAAUUUUGCUUACGUAUUUCGAUCGCAGCAUGCUAGAUGGCGUAACAAACACUGAUCUUUUCUCAAGUUGAUAAUUUCAGAAAACACGUGACACAAAAUUCCAUAAAAUAUCACGCGUAUUCUGCAAUAGAAAAAGAAUUAAUUUAUAAAUAAAGUAACGAAUUGUUUUCCUAUAUGAAUAAUGAAUUCUUCCUUUUUUUUCUUUUUCAUAAUUUUUAUAAUUUUUUUAAUUAAGAAAACGCAAUUUCGAACAAACGAAUCGAUAUUAUACAUACACAAAAAACAUGUAUUCCAUCCUAUAACAUUAGCGUAUAAAAAA
Molecule: unclassified non-coding RNA, 3032 nt
Filed under: Apis florea (little honeybee)
Lineage: Eukaryota; Metazoa; Arthropoda; Insecta; Hymenoptera; Apidae
Description: putative inorganic phosphate cotransporter, transcript variant X2
Source: RNAcentral